RNAcentral lists this ribosomal RNA (437 nucleotides) under uncultured Oscillospiraceae bacterium. RNAcentral's name for it is "bacterial SSU rRNA". It matches the Rfam family "Bacterial small subunit ribosomal RNA", at positions 341 to 792 of the family's 1533-position model. Lineage: Bacteria; Bacillati; Bacillota; Clostridia; Eubacteriales; Oscillospiraceae. The record is from RNAcentral.
ACGGAAGGCAGCAGUGGGGAAUAUUGGGCAAUGGGCGAAAGCCUGACCCGGCAACGCCGCGUGAAGGAAGAAGGUCUUCGGAUUGUAAACUUCUUUUAUGAGGGACGAAGGACGUGACGGUACCUCAUGAAUAAGCCAUGGCUAACUACGUGCCAGCAGCCGCGGUAAUACGUAGGUGGCGAGCGUUAUCCGGAUUUACUGGGUGUAAAGGGCGCGUAGGCGGGGAUGCAAGUCAGAUGUGAAAUCUAUGGGCUUAACCCAUAAACUGCAUUUGAAACUGUAUCUCUUGAGUGCUGGAGAGGUAGAUGGAAUUCCUUGUGUAGCGGUGAAAUGCGUAGAUAUAAGGAGGAACACCAGUGGCGAAGGCGGAUUGCUGGACAGUAACUGACGGUGAGGCGCGAAAGCGUGGGGAGCAAACAGGAUUAGAUACCCUGGUA